This 268-nucleotide long non-coding RNA is filed under the name Eucalyptus grandis. RNAcentral's name for it is "long non-coding RNA (EGRA_LNC004526)". Lineage: Eukaryota; Viridiplantae; Streptophyta; Magnoliopsida; Myrtales; Myrtaceae. The record is from RNAcentral.
AAUCUUGGUAGCUGAAGCUUGGUGAUUCUGCAAAGUCGGUUCUGGCCGUUGCCUAAUAAUUUCUCUCUGAUGAAUCCUGGGAGAAGCUGGUUUUGGAGUAGCAACUCUAGGAGAAGCAGCCCUCGGAGAUGCAGCUUUAGGUGAAGCAACCUUUGGAGAAGGAGCCCGAGGAGAAGCCACUCGAGGAGCCACAUAAGCUGAAGAUGUCCGUGGUUGCUCAGGAAGAGGGGGCGUGGCAGGUCUAUAAACGAUUUUGUGCUCUCUCUCG